RNAcentral lists this ribosomal RNA (301 nucleotides) under uncultured bacterium. RNAcentral describes it as "partial 16S ribosomal RNA". It matches the Rfam family "Bacterial small subunit ribosomal RNA", at positions 509 to 807 of the family's 1533-position model. The record is from RNAcentral.
CAGUCGCCGCGGGAAUACGAAGGGUGCAAGCGUUAAUCGGAAUUACUGGGCGUAAAGGGUGCGUAGGCGGUUGUUUAAGUCUGUUGUGAAAUCCCCGGGCUCAACUCCGGAAUUGCCUUUAAGACUGCCGAGCUAGUAGGUGAGAGAGGUAAGUGGAAUUCCGAGUGUAGAGGUGAAAUUCGUAGAUAUUCGGAAGAACACCAGUGGCGAAGGCGGCUCACUGGACUGGUAUUGACGCUGAGGUGCGAAAGCGUGGGGAGCAAACAGGAUUAGAUACCCCCGUAGUCCCUGUCUCUUAUAC